GACGAACCGUGCGAACGUUGUUCGGAAUCACUUGGCUUAAAGGGCGCGUAGGUGGUUUGCCAAGUCGGGGUUGAAAUCUUUCGGCUUAACCUGGGAACUGCAUUGGUGACUGGCAGGCUUUGAGUGUGGCAGAGGGAGGUAGAAUUCCACGUGUAGCAGUGAAAUGCGUAGAGAUGUGGAGGAAUACCGAUGGCGAAGGCAGCCUCCUGGGCCAACACUGACGCUCAUGCACGAAAGCGUGGGGAGCAAACAGG
Molecule: ribosomal RNA, 254 nt
Filed under: uncultured bacterium
Lineage: Bacteria
Description: partial 16S ribosomal RNA
Rfam family: Bacterial small subunit ribosomal RNA
Source: RNAcentral